AAAAUCUGCAAGGAAAAAGCCAAGCAGGGUGAGCCUUCGAGCCAGAUCCCAGGGAAAUCAGGGGGAGCUUUGCUUCUUUGAUGGCAUCUGAGGAGCCUGGUUAAUUAAAAGAGCUUAACUUGACUUGUGUGGGCUCCAAACCUGCAGCAAUAUGAGGGAGAUACUUUAGCCUAAAAGCACACAACACAGCCUCAAGUGAAUAAAAGAAUUCACAGCUCAGCAAACAGCACGUGAGUUGGAAGAGCUUCCCAUCUUGGUGGGUCCUUGCAAAAGCUGGAAGCCUGGCUGGAGCUGUGCAGGAACACUGGGGAGCUCAGGAAGAGUGGGAAACUGCUUUAGGCACAGACGCUACAGUCUGUGGCAAGAGAACGGGAGUGCAAAGAUCGUGGUGCUCGCCAGGAACUUGCAGAACGCCCAGACAACCACCAAGAGCCUGGGCACAGCCAGCGGGGAAGGAGUGCCCGGGUGCCCUGGAACGCUGCCUUGCAGCAGCACCUCGCACAGAUGCCUUGUGCAACUGCAGCGUGUCCAAGUGCAGAUUCACAUGCAGGGAGCAGAGGUGUGCUCGGGUAUCAUCAACAUCACCAAGGAAGCCACAGACCAAAAAUACAGAGAGGUUUUUAACCUCUGGGAGAAAACGACCUGUGGUGUUACCCUGUAUGAGAGACUCAGUGAGGAGUCUGUGAAGGGGGACGGGGAUGCCUCUGGUUUAUUAAAGGAGACAGAAAAAUUGUAGAAUAUGUGAGUUCAGGAAUAGUUUCACCCGCUGUCCUGAAUGAGCCAGGUCGCUGAAAGUCUUGCUGGAGGUUCCAGCAUUUGCACUUUCCAGGCAUUUCUCUCCUGUUCAGGGAGUGUCAGCCUGGUUGUGCAGGGAGGAGCAGCUCAGCCCAGAGAGGGCAAAGCCCCAUCCCAGGUUAUCCAGCAGGACAUGGAUUAAGCUGAGCAUUUCCCUGAUCAGCUGAAAAGAAAUCCUCUUGUGCUGGGUCUCAGCCUCCCUCACCCUUGUCCCUUGCAGGGUGCUGGAUUCCCGGGCGGUGGCUCCUGGGCAGCCCUUCACAAAGUGGCACUCACAAGGACCUCUUGUUCCGACGUGUUCUGCUCCUGUCACAGCCCUGCGCGUGUCGAACCGCCCGUGGGGGAUGCCAGACCUGUUCUCCCUGCAGAGA
Molecule: long non-coding RNA, 1166 nt
Organism: Passer domesticus (house sparrow)
Lineage: Eukaryota; Metazoa; Chordata; Aves; Passeriformes; Passeridae
Exons: 3
Source: RefSeq, a predicted model, not a curated record